Apodemus sylvaticus (European woodmouse) is the source of this 619-nucleotide long non-coding RNA. RefSeq lists it as uncharacterized. The transcript is spliced from 3 exons. Lineage: Eukaryota; Metazoa; Chordata; Mammalia; Rodentia; Muridae. The record is from RefSeq and is a predicted model, not a curated record.
UCCUCAGUCCCCAUUGGCUACAAGGCGCCUCUGCAGCGCUACGGCUGGGGCUUCCCAGCCAGAGCCGGGAGAGUGACGGCCGCUCCCUCCCGCGCCGGAAAGGAGGCAGCACCCUGCACGUCCCCCACGUAAGGAGCGCACGGUCACGCGUGGUGGCACAGUGCCAUGCCUGAGCAGCUGAAUUCAGCCACCAUUACCACCGCCACCAGCCCAGGAUCAGGAUCAUAUUUCCAGCCUCCUCUGUAGCUACCCGGCCAUGUGACCAAUCUCCAGCCAGGCAGAUAAAGGGAUGCAAGUUGGAGUCUCUCCUGGUGACUUCCCACCAGUAACAGCUUUUGUCCUUCAGGGCCUUGCCAGUUUGCCCAGGCUAGCUGCAAACUCUUGGGCUCUCCCUACUUUAGCCUCCAAAGAGCUGGGACGAGACGCAGCCUAACUCGGCUAAUUCUCCAAUGAUUUGUGAUACAGUCUCUGAGCAAGGAGAUCGUCACCACUGUGGGCCUUAGAACAUCUCCUCUCUCCCUCUUCCUGGUAGCCGUCAGCCUGCAAAUUUCUAUAUGCAUGGGUUGUCAGCAAACAUCUGUUUGUUAAGUCCUUAUCUUUGCCUGUUCUGGAUAUUGUA